UGGAUUGGACUAACCUUGUCAUGAGAUAGCCUCUACAAGCUUAUGCGUAGGAUAGCUGCCACGAGCUUAUGCGUGGGAUAGCCUCUACGAGCUUAUGCGUAGGAUAGCCUCCACGGGCUUACGCGUGGGAUAGCCUCUACGAGCUUAUGCGUAGGAUAGCCUCCACGGAUUUACGCGUGGGAUAGCUGCCACGAGCUUAUGCGUGGGAUUUGUGCAGUCUUGGACUGGGACAUGAACUUGGUUAGUCCAAAGCCAGAAGUGAAAAGUCUGAAAACUUGAGAAUCAGAGUAAUACGGGAAU
RNAcentral lists this long non-coding RNA (300 nucleotides) under Phoenix dactylifera (date palm). RNAcentral's name for it is "long non-coding RNA (PDAC_LNC009235)". The record is from RNAcentral. Lineage: Eukaryota; Viridiplantae; Streptophyta; Magnoliopsida; Arecales; Arecaceae.